ACAAAGAAGAGUUUGAUCCUGGCUCAGGAUGAACGCUAGCGGCAGGCUUAACACAUGCAAGUCGAGGGGCAGCGCGGGGUAGCAAUACUCUGGCGGCGACCGGCGGAAGGGUGCGUAACGCGUGAGCAACAUGCCCGUGGCAGGGGGAUAAGCGAUGGAAACGUCGUCUAAGACCCCGUAACAACAGAGUCCGCAUGGAUUUUGUUUGAAAGCUUCGGCGGCCACGGAUUGGCUCGCGUCCCAUUAGGCAGUUGGCGGGGUAACGGCCCACCAAACCGACGAUGGGUAGGGGUUCUGAGAGGAAGGUCCCCCACAAUGGAACUGAGACACGGUCCAUACUCCUACGGGAGGCAGCAGUGAGGAAUAUUGGUCAAUGGGCGGAAGCCUGAACCAGCCAUGCCGCGUGCAGGAAUAAGGCCCUACGGGUCGUAAACUGCUUUUGUACGGGAGCAAUAAGGGCCACGUGUGGUCCGAUGAGAGUACCGUACGAAUAAGCAUCGGCUAAC
RNAcentral lists this ribosomal RNA (506 nucleotides) under Bacteroidales bacterium. Its description in RNAcentral is "bacterial SSU rRNA". It matches the Rfam family "Bacterial small subunit ribosomal RNA", at positions 1 to 501 of the family's 1533-position model. Lineage: Bacteria; Pseudomonadati; Bacteroidota; Bacteroidia; Bacteroidales. The record is from RNAcentral.